CAGUAACGGCGAGUGAAGCGGCAACAGCUCAAAUUUGAAAUCUGGCUCCUUCGGGGCCCGAAUUGUAAUUUGUAGAGAGUGCUUCGGGCGAGACCUCGGUCUAAGUCCAUUGGAACAUGGUGUCAUAGAGGGUGAGAAUCCCGUAUGCGACCGUGGCUCGAGCCCAUGUGAAGCCUCUUCGACGAGUCGAGUUGUUUGGGAAUGCAGCUCAAAAUGGGUGGUAAAUUUCAUCUAAAGCUAAAUACUGGCUGGAGACCGAUAGCGCACAAGUAGAGUGAUCGAAAGAUGAAAAGCACUUUGGAAAGAGAGUCAAACAGUACGUGAAAUUGUUGAAAGGGAAGCGCUUGCAACCAGACCUGCCCGUAGGCGAUCAGCCGCUGUUCUCAGCGGUGUACUCGCUCUGCGAUCAGGCCAGCAUCGGUUUCGGCGGUCGGAUAAAGGCCUUGGGAAUGUAGCUUCCCUUCGGGGGAGUCUUAUAGCCCUCGGUGCAAUGCGGCCAGCCGGGACCGAGGACCGCGCUCCGGCUAGGAUGCUGGCGUAAUGGUUGUAAGCGACCCGUCUUGAAACACGGACCAAGGAGUCUAACAUCUAUGCGAGUGUUUGGGUGUCAAACCCAUACGCGGAAUGAAAGUGAACGGAGGUGAGAACCCUCAAGGGCGCAUCAUCGACCGAUCCAGAUGUCUUCGGAUGGAUUUGAGUAUGAGCAUAGCUGUUGGGACCCGAAAGAUGGUGAACUAUGCCUGAAUAGGGUGAAGCCAGAGGAAACUCUGGUGGAGGCUCGCAGCGGUUUCUGACGUGCAAAUCGAUCGUCAAAUUUGGGUAUAGGGGCGAAAGAC
Molecule: ribosomal RNA, 836 nt
Filed under: Xanthoparmelia lineola
Lineage: Eukaryota; Fungi; Ascomycota; Lecanoromycetes; Lecanorales; Parmeliaceae
Description: partial large subunit ribosomal RNA
Rfam family: Eukaryotic large subunit ribosomal RNA
Source: RNAcentral